GACGAACGCUGGCGGCGUGCUUAACACAUGCAAGUCGAACGAUGAACCCGGAGCUUGCUCCGGUGGAUUAGUGGCGAACGGGUGAGUAACACGUGAGUAACCUGCCCUUGACUCUGGGAUAACUGCGGGAAACUGCAGCUAAUACCGGAUACGACCCUCGGCGGCAUCGCCAGGGGGUGGAAAGAAUUUCGGUCAAGGAUGGACUCGCGGCCUAUCAGCUAGUUGGUGAGGUAACGGCUCACCAAGGCGACGACGGGUAGCCGGCCUGAGAGGGUGAACGGCAACACUGGGACUGAGACACGGCCCAGACUCCGAAGGGAGGCAGCAGUGGGGAAUAUUGCACAAUGGGCGCAAGCCUGAUUCAGCAACGCCGCGUGAGGGAUGACGGCCUUCGGGUUGUAAACCUCUUUUAGUAGGGAAGAAGCGAAAGUGACGGUACCUGCAGAAAAAGCACCGGCUAACUACGUGCCAGCCGCCGCGGUAA
RNAcentral lists this ribosomal RNA (484 nucleotides) under uncultured bacterium. RNAcentral describes it as "partial 16S ribosomal RNA". It matches the Rfam family "Bacterial small subunit ribosomal RNA", at positions 28 to 523 of the family's 1533-position model. The record is from RNAcentral.